GCUGGGCGCAGUGGUGCUCCUGCAGUCCCAGGUCAUGGGGAGGCAGGAGGAUCUCUUGAGCCCAGGAGCUCUGGGCUGUGAUGCUGUAUGUUGAUUGGGUAUCUACACUGAGUUUGGCAUCAAUAUGGUGACCUGGGAGCAGGGGACCACAGCGUUGCUUGAGGAGGAUGAACAAGCCCAGGUCAAAAACAGAGCAGGUCAAAACUCCCAUGCUGAUCAGUGGUGGGAUCGCGCCUACCAGUGGCCACUGCACUCUAGCCUGGGCAACAUCAUAGCAAGACCCUAU
Molecule: unclassified non-coding RNA, 286 nt
Organism: Papio anubis (olive baboon)
Lineage: Eukaryota; Metazoa; Chordata; Mammalia; Primates; Cercopithecidae
Rfam family: Metazoan signal recognition particle RNA
About the family: The signal recognition particle (SRP) is a universally conserved ribonucleoprotein.
Source: Ensembl